UACGGAGGGAGCUAGCGUUGCUCGGAAUUACUGGGCGUAAAGCGCACGUAGGCGGCUACUCAAGUCGGGGGUGAAAGCCCGGGGCUCAACCCCGGAACUGCCCUCGAAACUAGGUAGCUAGAAUCUUGGAGAGGUCAGUGGAAUUCCGAGUGUAGAGGUGAAAUCCGUAGAUAUUCGGAAGAACACCAGUGGCGAAGGCGACUGACUGGACAAGUAUUGACGCUGAGGUGCGAAAGCGUGGGGAGCAAACAGG
RNAcentral lists this ribosomal RNA (253 nucleotides) under uncultured bacterium. RNAcentral describes it as "partial 16S ribosomal RNA". It matches the Rfam family "Bacterial small subunit ribosomal RNA", at positions 524 to 776 of the family's 1533-position model. The record is from RNAcentral.